Long non-coding RNA from Mytilus californianus (California mussel), 419 nucleotides. RefSeq lists it as uncharacterized. Lineage: Eukaryota; Metazoa; Mollusca; Bivalvia; Mytilida; Mytilidae. The record is from RefSeq and is a predicted model, not a curated record. The transcript has 3 exons.
UAGUCAUAACAAUGAGUAGUAAACAUUGAUUAUUGUCUUAACUGUUUAUUUUUUUCUUUUUAGAAUCAAGUUAUUGAUUUAACAUUUAAUAAUGAGCAGGAGCCUAUGGAGGUGGAAAAUAAUGCUGCAUAUGGAAGCAGUAGUAGUAAACAAAAGAUGACAUAUCAUUAGAAAAAGAAAUAGAAGAAGCGAGUGAGAUAUAUCUCAAUGAACCGAUGGAAGUGGAUUUUGUGGACACGUUGUUGGACGAUCAAAAAGGUUAUUUUAAGAAGAAAAAAACAAGAAGUAGCGGGGAGAAAUGAGGAGAAAGAAGAAACUAUGUUAAAUAAAUGUUUAUCAAAUGAAAGGUGUUAUUAUUUUUUGUUUAAAGAAACUAUAUAUAGAUGAGACAACAAGGUAUUUUAUUUUUAAACAAACUA